UGGGGAAUCUUGCGCAAUGGGCGAAAGCCUGACGCAGCCAUGCCGCGUGAAUGAUGAAGGUCUUAGGAUUGUAAAAUUCUUUCACCGGGGACGAUAAUGACGGUACCCGGAGAAGAAGCCCCGGCUAACUUCGUGCCAGCAGCCGCGGUAAUACGAAGGGGGCUAGCGUUGCUCGGAAAUUACUGGGCGUAAAGGGAGCGUAGGCGGACAUUUAAGUCAGGGGUGAAAUCCCGGGGCUCAACCUCGGAACUGCCUUUGAUACUGGGUGUCUUGAGUGUGAUAGAGGUAUGUGGAACUCCGAGUGUAGAGGUGAAAUUCGUAGAUAUUCGGGAAGAACACCAGUGGCGAAGGCGACAUACUGGAUCAUUACUGACGCUGAGGCUC
This 384-nucleotide ribosomal RNA is filed under the name uncultured bacterium. Its description in RNAcentral is "partial 16S ribosomal RNA". It matches the Rfam family "Bacterial small subunit ribosomal RNA", at positions 355 to 754 of the family's 1533-position model. The record is from RNAcentral.